AACGAACGCUGGCGGCAUGCCUAACACAUGCAAGUCGAACGAGACCUUCGGGUCUAGUGGCGCACGGGUGCGUAACGCGUGGGAACCUGCCCUUAGGUUCGGAAUAACUCCCCGAAAGGGGUGCUAAUACCGGAUAAUGUCUUCGGACCAAAGAUUUAUCGCCUUUGGAUGGGCCCGCGUUGGAUUAGCUAGUUGGUAGGGUAAAAGCCUACCAAGGCGACGAUCCAUAGCUGGUCUGAGAGGAUGAUCAGCCACACUGGGACUGAGACACGGCCCAGACUACUACGGGAGGCAGCAGUGGGGAAUAUUGGACAAUGGGCGAAAGCCUGAUCCAGCAAGGCCGCGUGAGUGAUGAAGGCAUUAGGGUUGGAAAGCUCUUUUACCCGGGAUGAUAAUGACAGUACCGGGAGAAUAAGCUCCGGCGAACUCCGUG
This 433-nucleotide ribosomal RNA is filed under the name uncultured bacterium. RNAcentral's name for it is "partial 16S ribosomal RNA". It matches the Rfam family "Bacterial small subunit ribosomal RNA", at positions 29 to 507 of the family's 1533-position model. The record is from RNAcentral.